AAAACUUUCAACAACGGAUCUCUAGGUUCUGGCAUCGAUGAAGAACGCAGCGAAGUGCGUAAGUAAGUGAAUUAGCAGAAUUCAGUAGAAUCAUCGAAUACUUUGAACGCACAUUGCGCCCCUCGGCAUUCCGGGGGGCAUGCCUGUUCGAGCGUCAUU
This 159-nucleotide ribosomal RNA is filed under the name Lecanora subcarpinea. Its description in RNAcentral is "5.8S ribosomal RNA". It matches the Rfam family "5.8S ribosomal RNA". From Rfam's summary of the family: 5.8S ribosomal RNA (5.8S rRNA) is a component of the large subunit of the eukaryotic ribosome. It is transcribed by RNA polymerase I as part of the 45S precursor that also contains 18S and 28S rRNA. Functionally, it is thought that 5.8S rRNA may be involved in ribosome translocation. The record is from RNAcentral. Lineage: Eukaryota; Fungi; Ascomycota; Lecanoromycetes; Lecanorales; Lecanoraceae.